Ochotona princeps (American pika) is the source of this 105-nucleotide small nuclear RNA. Lineage: Eukaryota; Metazoa; Chordata; Mammalia; Lagomorpha; Ochotonidae. The record is from RefSeq and is a predicted model, not a curated record.
GCUAACUUCAGCAAACCAUAAACUAAGAUUGGAAAGAUACAGAGAAGAUUAGCAUGGUCCUGGCGAAAGGGUGACAUGUAGAUUCACGAUGCAUUCCCUAUUUUU